UACGGAGGAUGCGAGCGUUAUCCGGAUUUAUUGGGUUUAAAGGGUGCGUAGGCGGAGUGUCAAGUCAGCGGUAAAAUUUCGGGGCUCAACCCCGUCGUGCCGUUGAAACUGACACCCUUGAGUGAGUGAGAAGUAAGCGGAAUGCGUGGUGUAGCGGUGAAAUGCAUAGAUAUCAGGAGGAACAUCGGUGGCGUAAGCGCUUUACUGGGCCGUAAUUGACGCUGAGGAACGAAAGCCAGGGUAGCAAAUGGG
This 252-nucleotide ribosomal RNA is filed under the name uncultured bacterium. RNAcentral's name for it is "partial 16S ribosomal RNA". It matches the Rfam family "Bacterial small subunit ribosomal RNA", at positions 524 to 776 of the family's 1533-position model. The record is from RNAcentral.